AUAGUCUCCAGACAGUGAUGGUUUGUGUAUAAAGGGGGCUGUAGGAUGAGAUCCUGAGAGAGCCUAGAGCACUUGCCUCUUAGCAAGGCACUAGGCUCUACCCACUACCCCAUCCGACCCCAAUUUUUAAAACAGAAGAAAAAAAAAAAAAAAAAAAAACCAGGAUCUUUCAUUUCUGCACCUUGUCUGCGUUUCUGUGUAUGCUUCCUGAAACCAUCCAUACACAGGAAACUGAGAGCAGUGUUUGGGACAGAGAACCAGGAGACCAAAGGACAGAAAAGCAUCUCGCUGCACGGCAGUGAAGGUGGGAACUGUGUCCGCGUCUGCGGGCUGGGAGUUCGAGCCCACCAGCCUUCCGGGCUGGUGGCCAGGCCUAAGCUGUCAAGCCGCCAUCCAUCCCGCGAGCUCGGACCCCGAGCCCGGCUCCCGCCCCGGCCCGCGCUCACCGCCAAUGAUGGUCCGGAUGAGGGAGGCGUGCCCGGGGCAGUCGACCAGUGUGACCUGCAGCAGCGUGUCGCUAGUCCCGGGUUCUGCCCCCGGCAGCGGCACGACAAAACAGGAGAAGCCCAGGUCGAGCGUUAUGCCGCGCUCGCGGCUCUGCGGCUGCUUGUCGAAGGCAGCGGUGGAGGCCGUGGUGCUCAGCGCGCGCGCUAGCGCUGUUUUGCCGCUGUCGAUGUGACCCAGCACGCCCACAUUCACAUUUACCCGCCGGCCGGCCAUCCCGCCGCUGCCUCUCACGCCGUCGCCUGAGCGC
This 754-nucleotide long non-coding RNA is filed under the name Mus pahari (shrew mouse). RNAcentral describes it as "predicted gene, 44264 (MGP_PahariEiJ_G0002967.1)". The record is from RNAcentral. Lineage: Eukaryota; Metazoa; Chordata; Mammalia; Rodentia; Muridae.